This 523-nucleotide ribosomal RNA is filed under the name uncultured bacterium. RNAcentral's name for it is "bacterial SSU rRNA". It matches the Rfam family "Bacterial small subunit ribosomal RNA", at positions 356 to 896 of the family's 1533-position model. The record is from RNAcentral.
GGGGAAUAUUGGACAAUGGACCAAAAGUCUGAUCUAGCAAUUCUGUGUGCACGAUGACGUUUUUCGGAAUGUAAAGUGCUUUCAGUUGGGAAGAAAAAAAUGACGGUACCAACAGAAGAAGUGACGGCUAAAUACGUGCCAGCAGCCGCGGUAAUACGUAUGUCACAAGCGUUAUCCGGAUUUAUUGGGCGUAAAGCGCGUCUAGGUGGUUAUGUAAGUCUGAUGUGAAAAUGCAGGGCUCAACUCUGUAUUGCGUUGGAAACUGCAUGACUAGAGUACUGGAGAGGUAAGCGGAACUACAAGUGUAGAGGUGAAAUUCGUAGAUAUUUGUAGGAAUGCCGAUGGGGAAGCCAGCUUACUGGACAGAUACUGACGCUAAAGCGCGAAAGCGUGGGUAGCAAACAGGAUUAGAUACCCUGGUAGUCCACGCCGUAAACGAUGAUUACUAGGUGUUGGGGGUCGAACCUCAGCGCCCAAGCUAACGCGAUAAGUAAUCCGCCUGGGGAGUACGUACGCAAGUAUG